UAAACAUAAUGAAAUAAUAAUUAUUUAUCCUUGAAGAGUUCAGUUUAUUGAUAUAAAAUUAAUCUCAUUGGAGCAAUGAAAUUUCUAUAAAUAGAACCAAAAAUAACGAGAUAAACACAAACAGUUUUGCCUGUAACAAAUUACUUGUACACAAAAAAGUUGUUCAGUUUAAAUUGUCAACAACAAAAAAGAAAUGGAGGGGAAGGCCAUCAAAUUAGUAGUCUAUUUCUUCUUCGCGACAGUGAUGUUGCAAAUGCUUUAUGCGAACGCAACAUGUGACGGAACCCCAUGCAAUCCCAAUGUUACGCCAAACUGUUGUCCUGAACACGUAUGUCUUCCAAUUGUUCCAACUGAUCCGAUGAGUAAUCAUUUUUGCGUCGAUUGUGAGGUGCACGCAGGGCAUCCUUGUACCCCUGGUGUUCGUGAAUGUUGUCCUAAUACAUCCCUUCAGUGUGUGGCCACCUCUACUCCAGACGAGUACCAAUGCGAAUGAAUCCAUGCAUCCUCGUGAAGCAUCCUCAACACUACGAGUUUUACUUCUUACUUCUUUCCAUGUUGAAUUGUGACCAUAUAUCGUAUACACGUACACAUUGCGGAGUACUUUGUUUCGACUUGUUUUUCAUUCAGUUCGUGUUAUAUCGUAUACGCGUAUUCAGUUCUUGUUUGUUACCCUAACGAGUGUUUGAUGCUUGUUUUUAUCCCAUCUACCGGACCUGAGGCUAGUUGGGAACUUGUUGUACAAUCAGUCUAUCAUGCAUAGAUCAAUAAUAAAUUUUCUAUUUCUAUA
This is a long non-coding RNA of Spinacia oleracea (spinach), 787 nucleotides long. RefSeq lists it as uncharacterized. The transcript is spliced from 2 exons. NCBI's taxonomy places the organism in Eukaryota, Viridiplantae, Streptophyta, Magnoliopsida, Caryophyllales, Amaranthaceae. The record is from RefSeq and is a predicted model, not a curated record.